Molecule: ribosomal RNA, 301 nt
Filed under: uncultured bacterium
Lineage: Bacteria
Description: partial 16S ribosomal RNA
Rfam family: Bacterial small subunit ribosomal RNA
Source: RNAcentral
CAGUCGCCGCGGGAAUACAGAGGGUGCGAGCGUUAAUCGGAUUUACUGGGCGUAAAGCGUGCGUAGGCGGCUUUUUAAGUCGGAUGUGAAAUCCCUGAGCUUAACUUAGGAAUUGCAUUCGAUACUGGGAAGCUAGAGUAUGGGAGAGGAUGGUAGAAUUCCAGGUGUAGCGGUGAAAUGCGUAGAGAUCUGGAGGAAUACCGAUGGCGAAGGCAGCCAUCUGGCCUAAUACUGACGCUGAGGUACGAAAGCAUGGGGAGCAAACAGGAUUAGAUACCCGUGUAGUCCCUGUCUCUUAUAU